GUCAACGCGGUAAACGAUGGGCACUAGGUGUGGGGGGUAUCCACUCCUCCCGUGCCGAAGCUAACGCAUUAAGUGCCCCGCCUGGGGAGUACGGCCGCAAGGUUAAAACUCAAAGGAAUUGACGGGGGCCCGCACAAGCGGUGGAGCAUGUGGUUUAAUUCGACGCAACGCGAAGAACCUUACCUGGGCUUGACAUCCCUGGAACUCCCCGGAAACGGGGAGGUGCCCUCGAAAGAGGGAGCCAGGAGACAGGUGCUGCAUGGCUGUCGU
This 270-nucleotide ribosomal RNA is filed under the name uncultured bacterium. RNAcentral's name for it is "partial 16S ribosomal RNA". It matches the Rfam family "Bacterial small subunit ribosomal RNA", at positions 793 to 1055 of the family's 1533-position model. The record is from RNAcentral.